RNAcentral lists this transfer RNA (66 nucleotides) under Orussus occidentalis. RNAcentral's name for it is "tRNA-Tyr". Lineage: Eukaryota; Metazoa; Arthropoda; Insecta; Hymenoptera; Orussidae. The record is from RNAcentral.
GUUAAUGUGUCUGAUUAAAGUUAUAAAUUGUAAAUUUAUAUAAAAGAAAUGGUUUCUUCAUUAAUA